This is a long non-coding RNA of Etheostoma spectabile (orangethroat darter), 490 nucleotides long. RefSeq lists it as uncharacterized. The record is from RefSeq and is a predicted model, not a curated record. The transcript has 3 exons. Lineage: Eukaryota; Metazoa; Chordata; Actinopteri; Perciformes; Percidae.
AAUGUUAACCUGGAUCAAAAUGUGUCUUGCUUCACGUGUUUGGGUGGUUAAAUAUUGGAAUGUCAUGACAUAUUUGUAGUUGCUGUGCAAGUUGCCAAGAGAAAAUGUUGAUACCUCUCAGCUCGUAUUGCAUUGACUUACAAUAUAGUAUAGUAUAUUACAAUAUAGUGUUGAGAUUAAUUUUUUAUUUUUUAUAUUUAAAAUAUUUUUUAGAGGCUCCACAUUAUCAUCUUGGUAAAUGACACAUAAAACUACUGAGUGUAUUUUAAAAGAGUAGACAUUUUCCAGCCUUCUGGACAUGCCUCAAAACCUCCCUCCCGUUUCCCAUUGUUACUAUGCCCUGGCCAAACCUGCCUGACCUCUUCAUUCACCAUCUACAGAGAUUGAAAUCAGACUCAGGGGUCUAACUUUGGAGGGGUUUUGGUAGUCACGGGCAUAAAUGCAUUGCUUUUCUGCCAGUAUUUAAAACGGAUAAAGUGCUUUAAACCUU